Molecule: ribosomal RNA, 417 nt
Filed under: uncultured microorganism
Description: bacterial SSU rRNA
Rfam family: Bacterial small subunit ribosomal RNA
Source: RNAcentral
GAGUUUGAUCGUGGCUCAGAUUGAACGCUGGCGGCAUGCCUUACACAUGCAAGUCGAACGGCAGCAUGAUCUAGCUUGCUAGAUUGAUGGCGAGUGGCGAACGGGUGAGUAAUACAUCGGAGCGUGCCCUGUAGUGGGGGAGUAACUAGUCGAAAGAUUAGCUAAUACCGCAUACGACCUGAGGGUGAAAGUGGGGGACCGCAAGGCCUCAUGCUAUAGGAGCGGCCGAUGUCUGAUUAGCUAGUUGGUGGGGUAAAGGGCCCACCAAGGCGACGAUCAGUAGCUGGUCUGAGAGGACGAUCAGCCACACUGGGACUGAGACACGGCCCAGACUCCUACGGGAGGCAGCAGUGGGGAAUUUUGGACAAUGGGCGAAAGCCUGAUCCAGCAAUGCCGCGUGUGUGAAGAAGGCCUCGG